Molecule: non-coding RNA, 1092 nt
Organism: Arachis ipaensis
Lineage: Eukaryota; Viridiplantae; Streptophyta; Magnoliopsida; Fabales; Fabaceae
Source: RefSeq, a predicted model, not a curated record
GGGCACACGUACACCCUCUUUCUUACCUCCUUGGUGGCACGCUGCCGGAGCUUCCACGGGAGGUUGUGUCCCCGCCGGUGGAGCUGGAGGUUCUGGUCCCUCUGGAACCCCUUGUUGCAGAUCUCGCACACGAAACGGUUCGUCGCUAACAGCGUCUUUGGCGACAAAGCAAUCACUUCAGCAUCCGGAUCUGAAGAACAUUAUUCAAAAGCACUCAUAAAGUGACACAAAAUGGAGGAGGUUUCGCUUCUUUUUUAGGGGCGGGGCGGGUGGUUGAGGUGCGGUUUCUAAGUCCAAAGCCGAUAAGGUGGCGGCUUCCUCGCCGGAAAGUGGCAUUGGUGGUGGCUCCGUCGUCAUAGCUGCUCAAUCAAUUUAUGAAUGAGGGCAGAGGCUCAUUCAUAUGCAGAUGUAAGUAGUACUCUUUUCUCUUCUCUGGAAAGCUGAAAACUACCUGUUUAGUAUUCCAUGAAAUGAAAUGAAACACAAGGAUCACCUACGUUAUAAUCACUGGUCAACUGAGACCUUAUGAUAAUAAUUAAAAAUGUGUGUUAACUUUUGGUUUUUCCCUAGAAAUGGAGAGGAGUGUUGGGAUUGGAGGGUGAGAAAAGAGAGAAAGGUGUUGCUGGUUCCUAUGAGACAGGGUUUCAAGUGUUCAACAUUUUCUGGGUGGAGUCGUGGGCGGUGGGAACUGUGUACAACGGUCCUAUAAGGCGGCGGUGUUUGGUAGGGGCUCAAGCCUCAAAGGAAGAGAGAGAGAGAGAAACAAGGAGAGAAUAUAUUAUUUAUUUGAAAAUGAGUUAAGACUUAAGAAGUAAGAACUUAACAUAGUAUCUGCAUAUGCAUUAAAAAAAUUAGGCUAAAGCGGCGCCACUUAACCAUGGGUAAGUACUACGGGAGAGUGAGAAGAGUUUCUUUGUAAAAAAAUAAAUAUUUGAGGGAUGACUGGAACAUCAGAUUUCCAUGGGCUAUGACCACCGGUGUUAAUUUCAUUGUUAAGACAGCGGUGCUUUUCCUAAUUUCCUGUACUACAACCUUGUACUAUUGAAUAUUCUUCUCUAAUCAAUCUAGUAGUAGUAUUUAUUAAUUUUGAAA